UUUAUGAAAAGGAUACCAGAGAGAUAAGAGGGCUCUGUCAUUUAGCAGCCUUGAUAUUAAGGGGCCCAGAGUUGAACAGGUGCAAGCUGAUCAGAGGAAGAUGCUCUGAGAAACUGACAGCAGCCUAAAGAGCUAUUAGACCACUGGAAAAGGAUUCCAGUCACUCUAAGAAAAUAAAAUGACAUGCAUCAUGCUGGCCUAGGAAGAUAGCAGUCACCAGUGUAACCAAGACGUGUUUGACUCACAAAUUAGCCUUCUGAUUUCAACUGUAAGAAGCUGGGAUUUCCCCUUGAAGAAUUUCUUCUGCAUGACUUGGUGAUAAUGUUCACAAAACUCAUCAUCUCGGAAGAUUUCCACAUUCACAUGGGUAGUGUCCCUGAAAUGGUAUCACAAAACCUCCUACCUGAACUCUCAAUAAAAGUUUCUCAAAAGUAAUCUCCAGAACCCACACAUAGCUGGCCAUACUGGGAUUGGAUAUGGACAUAAGGAACUUCCAUCAGGCUGAAGGUGGAUUUAAGAAACCCAGGAAUUACCACUUAUCCUGCUUGACUUGCAGGUAGAAAUAACUCACCUAAUUGCAAAAACUCACCAUCAUGGUCCAACCCAACAAAUUCUUGGAACUGGCCAAAUUCCAACACUCAUUCAACAAAAGGAACGUUGCACCCAAACAAGAAGUAAAUGAAUGAAAAAAUUAGCUCAUUAGUUUAAAUUAAAGAACAGAAUACCCAGAUCCCAGGGAGAUCUUCCCCCAAAAACUAAUAGUGAACCACGAAAAAUAAUAUAUUUAAUGUCUUUGGCAUAAAAUGCAAUUUGCAUUUUUAAAAUGUGUCUGAAAUUUUAUUCUCAUUUGCAUUUCAUGUCAGGAAUUAGAUUCUAAAAACCCACAACAGCAGCUGUGAUAGGUACUUUUGCCCUGUAAGAAAGAGAUGUGCAUACUUCCAUACUAUAUAGCAUUGCUUGCAACUUCUGCCAUUUUAAGGUUUGAUUUGCCCUUGAUACUGUAAAACUAAGGCUUCUAAAA
Long non-coding RNA from Mauremys mutica (yellowpond turtle), 1021 nucleotides. RefSeq lists it as uncharacterized. The record is from RefSeq and is a predicted model, not a curated record. The transcript is spliced from 3 exons. Lineage: Eukaryota; Metazoa; Chordata; Testudines; Geoemydidae.